UGUGUUGUGUGUGUGUGUUUGUGUUUGUGUGUGUGUGUGUGUGUGUGUGUGUGUGUGUGUAUACAUACACACACACACACACACACACACACACACACACACACACAUAUAUAUAUAAUAUAUAUAUAUAUAUAUAUAUAUAUAUAUAUAUAUAUAUAUAUAUAUACAUAU
Molecule: small nucleolar RNA, 171 nt
Filed under: Penaeus japonicus
Lineage: Eukaryota; Metazoa; Arthropoda; Malacostraca; Decapoda; Penaeidae
Description: small nucleolar RNA SNORA23
Source: RNAcentral